CCCUUAGAUGUUCUGGGCCGCACGCGCGCUACACUGACGAUGGCAACGAGUUUUUCCUUCGCCGAAAGGUGUGGGUAAUCUUUUGAAACAUCGUCGUGCUGGGGAUAGAUCAUUGCAAUUUUUGAUCUUGAACGAGGAAUUCCUAGUAAGCGCGAGUCAUCAGCUCGCGUUGAUUACGUCCCUGCCCUUUGUACACACCGCCCGUCGCUACUACUGAUUGAAUGGUUUAGUGAGGACUCCUGAUUGGCGCCGCCGCCCCGGCAACGGAGCAGCGGACUGCCGAAAAGUUGUUCAAACUUGAUCAUUUAGAGGAAGUAAAAGUCGUAACA
This 329-nucleotide ribosomal RNA is filed under the name uncultured eukaryote. RNAcentral describes it as "partial 18S ribosomal RNA". It matches the Rfam family "Eukaryotic small subunit ribosomal RNA", at positions 1470 to 1796 of the family's 1831-position model. The record is from RNAcentral.